UUGCACCCAUAAGAGAUAAAGCAAUUGUCAUGAUAUAUGUUCUCAACGAGAACAAAAAUGUCGUAUGGAACAAAAGGAUUAAAGCUUUCUUAUUUUUAUUUUCAGUACGAAUACAAAUCGUAAAAAUGACCUAUUGAUCCUUUACCUUUGGAGUUUAAAGUUAGAA
Molecule: non-coding RNA, 166 nt
Filed under: Oryza punctata
Lineage: Eukaryota; Viridiplantae; Streptophyta; Magnoliopsida; Poales; Poaceae
Source: Rfam by way of RNAcentral